RNAcentral lists this long non-coding RNA (1008 nucleotides) under Sus scrofa (pig). RNAcentral's name for it is "lncRNA (ENSSSCG00070022637.1)". The record is from RNAcentral. Lineage: Eukaryota; Metazoa; Chordata; Mammalia; Artiodactyla; Suidae.
AUGUCUGGUGUGGUACCUGGAUGUCUGGGGUGGUACCUGGAUGUCUGGGGUGGUACCUGGAUGUCUGGGGUUGUACCUGGAUGUCUGGAGUUGUGUCUGGAUGUCUGGGGUUGUACCUGGAUGUCUGGGGUGGUACCUGGGUGUCUGGGGUGGUACCUGGAUGUCCGGGGUGGUACCGGAUGUCCAGGGUGGUAUCUGAAUGUCCGGGGUGGUACCUGGAUAUCCAGAGUGGUGCCUGGAUGUCUGGUGUGGUACCUGGAUGUCUGGGGUGGUGCCUGGAUGUCUGGGGUUGUACCUGGAUGUCUGGGGUGGUACCUGGGUGUCGGGGGUGGUACCUGGAUGUUUGGUGUGGUACCUGGGUGUCUGGGGUGGUACCUGGAUGUCCGGGGUUGUACCUGGAUGUCUGGGGUGGUACCUGGAUGUCGGGGGUGGUACCUGGAUGUUUGGUGUGGUACCUGGGUGUCUGGGGUGGUACCUGGAUGUCCGGGGUUGUACCUGGAUGUCUGGGGUGGUACCUGGAUGUUUGGUGUGGUGCCUGGAUGUCUGGGGUGGUACCGGAUGUCCGAGGUGGUACUGGAUGUCCGGAGUGGUACCUGGAUGUCUGGGGUUGUACCUGGAUGUCUGGGGUGGUACCUGGAUGUUUGGUGUGGUGCCUGGAUAUCUGGGGUGGUAUUGGAUGUCCGGGGUGGUACCUGGAUGUCCGGAGUGGUACCUGGGUGUCUGGGGUUGUACCUGGAUAUCUGGGGUGGUACUGGAUGUCUGGGGUGGUACCUGGAUGUCCGGAGUGGUACCUGGAUGUCUGGGGUUGUACCUGGAUGUCUGGGGUGGUACCUGGAUGUUUGGUGUGGUGCCUGGAUGUCUGCAUACAGAACAGCAGAAGCUGCUGCUCCAGGCCUGCAGUUUGACUCUCAGAGCAGAUGGUAUUUGCUGAGCUUCACCAGGUCUGGGAGCAGCUGCCCUGACAAAGGGGUGUCUCCUUUGCAGGAAAACUGCUCGGGGAAGCCCUGA